Molecule: ribosomal RNA, 492 nt
Filed under: uncultured bacterium
Lineage: Bacteria
Description: partial 16S ribosomal RNA
Rfam family: Bacterial small subunit ribosomal RNA
Source: RNAcentral
AGUGAACGCUGGCGGUAGGCCUAACACAUGCAAGUCGAACGGCAGCACAGUAAGAGCUUGCUCUUACGGGUGGCGAGUGGCGGACGGGUGAGGAAUACAUCGGAAUCUACUUUUUCGUGGGGGAUAACGUAGGGAAACUUACGCUAAUACCGCAUACGACCUACGGGUGAAAGCAGGGGAUCUUCGGACCUUGCGCGAUUGAAUGAGCCGAUGUCGGAUUAGCUAGUUGGCGGGGUAAAGGCCCACCAAGGCGACGAUCCGUAGCUGGUCUGAGAGGAUGGAUCACCCAACCUGAAACUGGACACGGGUCCGACCCCUCAGGGGGGGCACCGUGGGGAAUUUUUGGCAAUGGGGGCAAACCCGACGCCGCCCAGCCGGGGGGGGGAAGAAGGGCCUUGGGUUUUUAAACCCCUUUUUUGGGGAAAAAAAAGCGGGUGGUUAAUACCCCGCGUUUUGGCGGGUCCCAAAAAAAAAAGCACGGGCAACCUCCCG